AGCUCGAGUUCUCUUCACUGUCGGGCAAAUCUUUCGCCUUUACUAAAGAUUUCCGUGGAGGAGCUUUGCGCGAGUGACCUGUAUUGGGGGCUCUGCUCAGCGCAGAGCC
Molecule: small nuclear RNA, 109 nt
Organism: Cyprinus carpio carpio
Lineage: Eukaryota; Metazoa; Chordata; Actinopteri; Cypriniformes; Cyprinidae
Gene: U5
Rfam family: U5 spliceosomal RNA
About the family: U5 RNA is a component of both types of known spliceosome. The precise function of this molecule is unknown, though it is known that the 5' loop is required for splice site selection and p220 binding, and that both the 3' stem-loop and the Sm site are important for Sm protein binding and cap methylation.
Source: Ensembl